CUAAAGGCUUGAACUGUGAGCUGUGCAUGGAUUUCUACCACGAUUUGCCGUGGAGACCUGCCGAAGGUCGGAACAGUAACGCCUGCAAAAAGUGUAACUGCAACGAACAUUCCAGCUCGUGUCACUUUGACAUGGCGGUCUUCCUGGCUACCGGCAAUGUCAGCGGGGGAGUGUGUGAUAACUGUCAGCACAACACCAUGGGGCGCAACUGCGAGCAGUGCAAACCCUUCUACUUCCAGCACCCUGAGAGGGACAUCCGGGACCCCAAUCUCUGCGAAC
This 279-nucleotide long non-coding RNA is filed under the name Rattus norvegicus (Norway rat). Its description in RNAcentral is "long non-coding RNA NONRATT024196". The record is from RNAcentral. Lineage: Eukaryota; Metazoa; Chordata; Mammalia; Rodentia; Muridae.